UAAGUUGAACUGAGGGGUGACGGAGAAGGUUAACUGAGCUGCUGCGGUGGAUGGCAGUCUAAAGCCGUAGGGGUGCUGGGUACGAUAAAAGGCCUGGCAGUUAUCUCCGAAAGCUGAAUGCGAAGGCGCAAGCCUAGAGUCAGUGAUACCCCGCUCCCAAGAAAAACCUCGCAGGGAUUCCGUAGGUCGUCCGUACCGUAAACCGACACAGGUGGGUGAGGCGAGUAGCCUAAGGGGCCCGAGAGAACUCUCCUCCAAGGAACUAGGCAAAUUGACACCGUAACUUCGGAAGAAGGUGUGCCCUCGGUAGGUGUUAAAGCCGAUGAGGGUCGCAGAGAAUAGGGGGUAGCGACUGUUUACCAAAAACACAGGACUCUGCGAAGGCGAGAAGCCGACGUAUAGGGUCUGACUCCUGCCCGGUGCUGGAAGGUUAAGGGGAUCCGUCAGCGCAAGCGAAGCGGUGAUCCGAAGCCCCAGUAAACGGCGGCCGUAACAAUAACGGUCCUAAGGUAGCGAAAUUCCUUGUCGGGUAAGUUCCGACCUGCACGAAAGGAGUAACGACUUCCCCGCUGUCUCGGAGAGGGACUCGGCGAAAUUGAAAUAGCUGUGCCGAUGCUGUUUACCCGCGGAAAGACGGAAAGACCCCGUGAACCUUUACUACAACUUGACAGUGACACUAGGGAUUGGCUGUGUAGCAUAGGUGGGAGCCUUUGAAGCUGGGCCGCUAGGUUCAGUGGAGGCGUCAGUGAAAUACCACCCUGCUGGUUUCUGGUGUCUAACCGCAUCCCGUCAUCCGGGAUCGGGACACUGUCUGGUGGGUAGUUUGACUGGGGCGGUCGCCUCCCAAAGAGUAACGGAGGCGCGCGAUGGUUCCCUCAGCCUGAUUGGAAACCAGGCGUCGAGUGCAAUGGCAUAAGGGAGCUUGACUGCAAGAGCGACGGCUCGAGCAGGUGCGAAAGCAGGUCAUAGUGAUCCGGUGGUUCUGAAUGGAAGGGCAUCGCUCAACGGAUAAAAGGUACUCCGGGGAUAGCAGGCUUAUCUCCUCCAAGAGUUCACAUCGACGAGGAGGUUUGGCACCUCGAUGUCGGCUCAUCGCAUCCUGGGGCUGGAGCAGGUCCCAAGGGUUUGGCUGUUCGCCAAUUAAAGCGGUACGCGAGCUGGGUUCAAAACGUCGUGAGACAGUUUGGUCCCUAUCUUCCGUGGGCGUAGGAGGCUUGAGAGGAUCUGACCUUAGUACGAGAGGACCGGGUUGGACGCACCUCUGGUGUACCAGUUGUCACGCCAGUGGCAUCGCUGGGUAGCCAUGUGCGGAUUGGAUAACCGCUGAAAGCAUCUAAGCGGGAAACCGACCUCAAGAUUUGGCCUCCCGGGGGCAACCCCCUGAAGACCCGAUGGAGACUACGUCGUUGAUAGGCCGGAUGUGUAAGC
RNAcentral lists this ribosomal RNA (1428 nucleotides) under metagenome. Its description in RNAcentral is "bacterial LSU rRNA". It matches the Rfam family "Bacterial large subunit ribosomal RNA", at positions 1453 to 2874 of the family's 2925-position model. The record is from RNAcentral.